AGAAAAAGCUACUUUGGUCCGGUGUUCAGGCUCUCAGGCAGUGGUGUCAAGAUGUGGAUGAUAGUGACUUAGUGAGGUUUUUAGUGAGUUUGGUCGUAGAGGGACGAAGAAUUAUUUUAAUUGGUGUGCUGUAUAUCGUAUGCAAUUCAUCUGAAGUUUCUUAGUGUGUUCAUCAAGUCCAGAAGCCUAGAAUUUUUAUUCGCAUUUUGUGUCUCCCUCGUUUGCAUUUUGUACGUAAUUUUAACUAAUCAUUACGUUAUUUUCUUGAAUCGUGACAUCCGUAGCUUUGUUACAACACAGUUUGUAAAGGCUACUGAAGUGAGAUGUUGUAUAAACUAUCUACGAUAGAUGGUGUACAAUAUAAGAUUGUAUUGUAACUUAGCUGAUCCGUGAUUAGAAUAAAUGACUAUGUAACAUUUUCUCGAUUCCUUAUGCAACUUCUUUGUGUGUGACCGCCCCGCAUAAAUAACAUGUGUGAUACUAUUAGUUGAAUUUCGUGUCGCUUAUUUGUAAUGAUCGUGUGGAAAUCAUACUGUGAUGUUUCUCUUGUUCAGAGAUCCUGGACAUUGCAAAUAGCGAGUGUUGUCUAUUCCAAAAUACCCGUACAAAUUUUUGAGCAAUUUAUUUUGAUUGUAUUACGAUAGUAAAUUCUAUGUCAUUAUCAGAUGAUCCAAGGGUGAAUAAAUAAAUAUUUAGAAUGCAA
This is a long non-coding RNA of Schistocerca nitens (vagrant locust), 703 nucleotides long. RefSeq lists it as uncharacterized. The transcript has 2 exons. Lineage: Eukaryota; Metazoa; Arthropoda; Insecta; Orthoptera; Acrididae. The record is from RefSeq and is a predicted model, not a curated record.